Molecule: ribosomal RNA, 597 nt
Filed under: Enterobacter hormaechei subsp. steigerwaltii
Lineage: Bacteria; Pseudomonadati; Pseudomonadota; Gammaproteobacteria; Enterobacterales; Enterobacteriaceae
Description: partial 23S ribosomal RNA
Rfam family: Bacterial large subunit ribosomal RNA
Source: RNAcentral
GUGGGUAGUUUGACUGGGGCGGUCUCCUCCCAAAGAGUAACGGAGGAGCACGAAGGUUGGCUAAUCCUGGUCGGACAUCAGGAGGUUAGUGCAAUGGCAUAAGCCAGCUUGACUGCGAGCGUGACGGCGCGAGCAGGUGCGAAAGCAGGUCAUAGUGAUCCGGUGGUUCUGAAUGGAAGGGCCAUCGCUCAACGGAUAAAAGGUACUCCGGGGAUAACAGGCUGAUACCGCCCAAGAGUUCAUAUCGACGGCGGUGUUUGGCACCUCGAUGUCGGCUCAUCACAUCCUGGGGCUGAAGUAGGUCCCAAGGGUAUGGCUGUUCGCCAUUUAAAGUGGUACGCGAGCUGGGUUUAGAACGUCGUGAGACAGUUCGGUCCCUAUCUGCCGUGGGCGCUGGAGAAUUGAGGGGGGCUGCUCCUAGUACGAGAGGACCGGAGUGGACGCAUCACUGGUGUUCGGGUUGUCAUGCCAAUGGCACUGCCCGGUAGCUAAAUGCGGAAGAGAUAAGUGCUGAAAGCAUCUAAGCACGAAACUUGCCCCGAGAUGAGUUCUCCCUGAGACUUUAAGUCUCCUGAAGGAACGUUGAAGACGACGACG